Molecule: long non-coding RNA, 1363 nt
Filed under: Malus domestica (apple)
Lineage: Eukaryota; Viridiplantae; Streptophyta; Magnoliopsida; Rosales; Rosaceae
Description: long non-coding RNA (MDOM_LNC009106)
Source: RNAcentral
CUUGAACCAGCAGUUUCAAACUAUUCCAACUCAUAUUCAAUUAGAGGGCUUUAUAUUUACGAAAAGAUAGACAACCUGGUAAUCCUGCCCAGGCUAAAAUUUCAAUAAUCAAAGGCUUCGGGCAUCAGAAUUCUGAAGAAACAACAAAGAAGUUAAUAUAUUGAUCCAAUGAGAAAUUCGACCUGCCCCACGUAAUGAAAAAACUUCAGCGUACGAUUGCAGUACGGUGGAAGGGAAUAUUUCCAUUUCCAUAGUUAUUGGUAACGUAUAGUUUCUGGAAAUGUAAAUCAAGGCCUCCCACAAGAAUUCCUCGAUUGAUGGGAAGAAAAAUUGAAGAAACAAGUGCAGAAUGAAAAUCUUUGUGUUGAUGGACACAAAUGGUGAUAGAAAUGGUGUGGGCAAGCAACUUCCAUAUCUUUUGAAAUCCAGCAAUAACGAUGAAGAGAAAAUGGUGACAUGGUUGUAUCCUAGGGUUUCAGUAAAACAUGGGAGCUAUUAGAGUUUACCAAACAAGAUUGCAGCACUUCUGAACAGCUUACAACGGGUGAAUGUUAUCGUCAUUUGCUCUUUAGUGCGGAGGAUACUAUGCAUGGCAGGUAUCCUUCAAUUUCAAUAAAGGUAAGUCAUCGGUAAUGUUGUUGUUUGUUCCAUCAGUAGAAUGGUGUAGACACCUGCUCUCAACAAGUUUGUACCAUUAGUCGUCAUCGAGUAGCUUAGUAAAUAAGUGAAAAUGCAACCUUUAGAGCAGACAUAAGAUGCACGUUUGGGAUCAAACAAGGAAUAAUAAUAUUCACCAACAUAAGAUGCACGUUUGUCACAAACCUCAAACCAUACACCAUCUGAGUGGACCAUCCAUGAUGUUCUCAGUUGGCAUGGUCCAUCGGGCUAGUCGACCAUGUGUGGUAUAGAUGUAUUCAUGUAAACACCAGUCAACGGGCAUUGGCCUUUGCUUUAUUCAGAUUGGCUAUGAUAAUGAUAAGAAUAGAAAUGGAACAAAGCGAGUUACUACCAUAUGGUAGCAAGACUUCCUUGAAACGGAUUCUUGGAAGAGCCAGACAGAACAGCAAAGAAACCACCAAAUUGUGCCCUAAACUAUGAUGAAAUUUGUAGUUCACCAAUGUUCCUAUAAUCUUUAAAUUGUGAGUACAUGCAACCAAAACCAAUUGGUGAUAAGUGGAGAGGCCCAAGAUAUGUAUUUUCAAAACAAAUAAAAUACAAUUAAAAAUAAUAAUAAAAUAUGCAUGCUUCAGACUCCUGAUGUAUGAUUUUACAUUUGCUAACAUUUUCUAGUGCUCCUAUAAAUGCUCAUCUAGUUAGUUCUUAUUUCAUGCAUGACAACAUUUAUUGAAUUUAUACCAAAUAG